CGGACGGGUGAGUAACGCGUGGAAAACCUGCCGUAUACUGGGGGAUAACACUUAGAAAUAGGUGCUAAUACCGCAUAAGCGCACAGCUUCGCAUGAAGUGGUGUGAAAAACUCCGGUGGUAUACGAUGGUUCCGCGUCUGAUUAGCCAGUUGGCAGGGUAACGGCCUACCAAAGCGACGAUCAGUAGCCGGCCUGAGAGGGCGGACGGCCACACUGGGACUGAGACACGGCCCAGACUCCUACGGGAGGCAGCAG
RNAcentral lists this ribosomal RNA (255 nucleotides) under uncultured bacterium. Its description in RNAcentral is "partial 16S ribosomal RNA". It matches the Rfam family "Bacterial small subunit ribosomal RNA", at positions 99 to 354 of the family's 1533-position model. The record is from RNAcentral.